GAAUGAGACGCAUGUGCGUCGUUUCAGUGUGUCUUUCCAUAGGCUCCAGGCCGCACGGGAGUAUUGGGGAUCCCCAGGAAUGUCUCAUCCCAGCACCCAUGUGCAGGACAACCACCUCACAGGAGUGGACAUGCUUAGCUGGCUGUGGACACAAGCUAACAGAAGAGGGCAGGCGAUCCUGGCAGGAGAGCCUUCCUUCCUUCCUUCCUUCACCUCAGUGGAUCUGCCUGUUUCCAUGCCAUCCGGAUCCUAACGAAUUGGGUAGGAAAACCUGUGAAGCAUCAACUUAGACAUGAAAUUGACCACUGAGCCUGUUCCUCCCUGUGGAGAGUCUGGAGCAUUGGUGGCACUGUCUCUGGCAUAAGAAGGUAGACCCUGCCCCUCUCUGGGCUGUGAGGUGGUUCCUUGGAGGCCACUGUCAUGGUACAUGCAGGGCCUGUUCUGGUUCCUUUCACAUGAUUGGCCAAGCCUGUUCUGGUAUGUGUGAAAGGUCCAGCAGGAGCCUGGGGAGAAGGCAUCACAGGUGGAGGCAGCUGCUGCGGGAGGGCUGAAGGACAGCAGAGUGGUCUUGCUCUACCUGUAGGGAGACGUCUCCCCGGCAUGGAACCAUUCACUCACUCACUCACUCACUCACUCACUCACUCACUCAUCCAUAAACACAGUGUUCUCCAAGUGUGAAGCUCAGUGCUGAGAACUA
RNAcentral lists this long non-coding RNA (697 nucleotides) under Cricetulus griseus (Chinese hamster). Its description in RNAcentral is "lncRNA (ENSCGRG00000025710.1)". The record is from RNAcentral. Lineage: Eukaryota; Metazoa; Chordata; Mammalia; Rodentia; Cricetidae.